Long non-coding RNA from Drosophila navojoa, 171 nucleotides. Lineage: Eukaryota; Metazoa; Arthropoda; Insecta; Diptera; Drosophilidae. The record is from RefSeq and is a predicted model, not a curated record.
AAGAAAAAGAAAAAAACAAAAGUGCAGUGACUUCACCUUCACAAACAUACAUAAGAAGAAGAGGAAGAAAAAGGAAGAAGCUGAGCACAAUUAUCAGCAGAGUGAUCGCAACAGAUAGAGAAAGAAGAGCAGAGAGGCGUAAAAAAAGAUGAAAACGAAAUAAACUCGAGC